Molecule: ribosomal RNA, 726 nt
Filed under: Triticum aestivum (bread wheat)
Lineage: Eukaryota; Viridiplantae; Streptophyta; Magnoliopsida; Poales; Poaceae
Description: partial small subunit ribosomal RNA
Source: RNAcentral
AUGAGGGUCUUUCCGAUCUUUCCGGCGGGGUGGUUUGACGCGUACUGGUCCCUGGUGAGGCGGCGCGCCUCCAUGAUGGCGGCGACGACGGUGUCGCCGAAGACCAUCUGUAUGGCGGUGGAGGUGACGGGCGCGAGGCCGAAGGGACAGACCUCCCCCUGCAGCGGGAGGUGCACGUUGAGGUCGCAGGCGGCGGCGAGCGGGCAGUCGGAGCCGGAGGCCGCGGAGGUGAGGGAGAUGAGCUGCGCGCCCUUGGCGCGCGCGCAGGGGGCGAGCGCGAGCAGCUCGUCGGAGGCGCCGGACUUGGAGAGCAGCACGAGGACGUCCCCGGGGAAGACGGAGCCGAUGUCGCCGUGGAGCGCGUCGACGGGGGAGAGGAACCCGGCGCGUGCGAAGCCGAGGGAGGCGAGCGUCUGCGCCAGCUUGCGGGCCACGAUGCCGGACUUGCCGACGCCGGUGAAGAAGACGGCCCCGGGCGCGUCGAGCAGCGCCUGCGCGAACGCCGCCGCCUGCGGCAUGUCGAGCCGGUCGAAGAAGUGGUCGAGGUGGCGGCGCUGCGCGUCGAAGAGCGCGGCCAGGUCCGACGCCGCCACCGUCGCCCGCGUCCCCUCCGUCGGCGGCGGCGCGCAUUCCGCCGGGGAGAGCACCGGGAGCGAGCCCAUGGCGGCGCGCGGAAGGUGCUCGCGGAAAUGCCGCGGCGGCGAGGAGGGAUUCUCUCUACGGUGA